RNA transcript from Magnolia sinica, 2375 nucleotides. It is a transcript of the gene named ATP-dependent 6-phosphofructokinase 2, with no coding region annotated. NCBI's taxonomy places the organism in Eukaryota, Viridiplantae, Streptophyta, Magnoliopsida, Magnoliales, Magnoliaceae. The transcript has 4 exons. The record is from RefSeq and is a predicted model, not a curated record.
GUUCCCUUCAGAUUCUCCCUCGCCUCUCAUCCCUCCCAAACCCUCUCUCUCUCUCUCUCACCAUGGAACUAGAACACUCCAAAACCACCUCUGCAAAUACCGCUGGUAUUCAAAAACCACAAAACCACUCUCAAACCUCCUCCAUCUCUUCCAUCACCGUCGAAAAGCUGCCCCACCUCUCGGACUACAUCCCAACCAUCCAAACCUACAUCAACCCUUUAGACAACAAUCCAUUCUACCACCCCACCGAUGGCUUCUACAUCAACCCAUCAGACGUCAUCCUCCAUCGGACCAUCUACGACCUCUCCAGCACCUUUCCCGCCACCAGGCCUAACCCAGCCUACCAUCUUGCGGGCCCACGUAAGGAGAUCUUCUUCAACCCGUCGCAAGUGCAUGCAGCGAUCGUGACCUGUGGUGGGCUAUGCCCUGGCCUGAAUACUGUUAUAAGAGAGCUUGUGGUGGGGCUUUGGGAGCUUUAUGGUGUCCGUCGGAUCUCGGGGGUGUUGUCGGGGUACCGUGGUUUCUACACGAUGGAGCCGAUACAGUUGGAUCCGAAGCUAGUGCAUAACUGGCACAAGCAAGGUGGGUCCGCCCUCAAGACGUCACGCGGUGGGUUUGAUCUCGAGAAGAUCGUCAAUGCCAUUGAGGCACGUGGGUUUAAUCAGGUAUAUAUCAUAGGUGGUGAUGGAACGAUGCGUGGUGUUGUCAAGAUCUUCAAAGAAAUCUGUCGCCGGAAACUCAACAUUGCCAUUGCCGGGAUCCCUAAAACUGUUGACAAUGACAUUGGCAUCAUCGACAGGUCAUUUGGUUUUCAAACAGCCGUGGAGACUGCCCAACAACCCAUCAGCGCAGCCCAUGUGGAGGCAGAGAGCGCUGUCAACGGCAUUGGCUUGGUUAAGCUGAUGGGCCGCAGCACAGGCCACAUUGCUCUCCAUGCAACCUUAAGUAGCCGUGAUGUGGAUUGUUGUUUAAUACCUGAAAUGGAAUUUUACUUAGAAGGGAAGGGUGGGCUAUUUGAAUUCCUCGGGCAAUGCCUGAAGGAGCAAGGGCAUGCUGUGAUAGUAGUGGCUGAGGGGGCUGGCCAGGACUUGAUACCGAGAACUGAUGCCCAAAAAGAAGAGAGAGAUGAGUCGGGCAAUCCGGUAUUCUUAGACGUCGGUGUUUGGCUGAAAUCAGAAUUGAAGCGAUGGUGGACCAGAGAUCAUGCAGGGGAGUUGUUCACAGUGAAGUACAUAGAUCCUACAUACAUGAUACGGGCAUUGCCCGCAAAUGCUACUGAUAACUUGUAUUGUACGCUCCUGGCCUACUCGACAAUACACGGGGUCAUGGCAGGGUACACUGGGUUUGUAUCAGCUCCGAUCAACAGUAACUAUGUGUAUAUUCCAGUGGCCGAGGUGGCUGAAUCGAGGAAUGUGGUGGACAUAAAGGAUCAUAAGUGGGCUUGGGUCAGAUCAGUGACCAACCAGCCGGAUUUCAUGAGGAUUGAUAUAGGUAAAUGAUGUCAGAAGAUCAUGAAAUUAGUCCAUUUGAAAGCUUAUGGAGUUAGCUUCAAGCCAAGGUUCACAUAAUUUCGAUGCCAUUUAAGUGAUAGCUAGAUCUUUGAAAUUUUCGACUGUCCAUGCUAGAGUCGCUCUUCGGAGGCGGAAGGCCAAACCAUGUAUUCAGCGCUUUGUCCCCCUUUUGCAUUAAGACCCCACAUGUCCCCACACCGCAGAUGCCUUUCAAUUAAGACUAUCACAUUAUCAUUAUCAGGUAGUGACUACUUUAAUUAGGUAGCCAUCUUUGGGUGUGGCUUUUAACAGGGUUGAACUUCCAACACUUGGCCCCAACAUGAUGUAGGUGUUUUAUCCAUGCUGUCCAGUGGCCAUCCAUUUUGCUAGCUCAUUUUAGGGUAUGAGCCCAAAAACGAGGCAGAUCCAAAGCUCAAGUGGGUCACACCACAAGGAACAGUGGUGAUUGAAUGCUUGAAAACUUCUUCGGGACCAACCACAAUCUUUGUUUGCCAUCAAACCUAUUCAUAAAGUCACAUAACCCCAGAUGAUGGGAAAACACAACUAUCAGCUCGAUCCAAAACUUCUGUGGCCCUCAAGAAGCUUUCAACGGCAGGCGUUCAAUCCCCACUGUUUCCUGUUGUGUGGUCCACUUGAGCUUUGGAUGUGCCUCAGUUUUUGGGCUCAUGCCCUAAAAUUAGCUGGCAAAAUGGAUGGACAGCAUGGAUAAAUCACAUACAUCAUGGUGAGGCCGACAGAGCUUUUCCACCAGCUAGCUGGGUUAUGUUGGGUCACCAGCCAAUCCUCUUCUAUGUGAGCCACACCUUUGGUGCCAUCCAAAAUCCCUUUCUUUAAAAUUAGGGAACUCCCAACUAUUUCAGAUUA